CCUACGGGUGGCAGCAGUGGGGGAUAUUGCACAAUGGGGGAAACCCUGACGCAGCGACGCCGCGUGGGCGAAGAAGUCUUUCGGUAUGUAAAGCCCUAUCAGCAGGGACGAAGCAAUGACGGUACCUGAGUAAGAAGCACCGGCUAAAUACGUGCCAGCAGCCGCGGUAAUACGUAGGGUGCAAGCGUUAUCCGGAUUUACUGGGGGUAAAGGGAGCGCAGGCGGCACGGCAAGCCUGAUGUGAAAGCCCGCGGCCCAACCGCGGGACUGCAUUGGGAACUACCGGGCUGGAGUGUCGGAGAGGAAGGCGGAAUUCCUAGUGUAGCGGUGAAAUGCGUAGAUAUUAGGAGGAACACCAGUGGCGAAGGCGGCCAACUGGACGGUGACUGACGCUGAGGCACGAAAGCGUGGGGAGCGAACAGGAUUAGAUACCCGGGUAGUC
RNAcentral lists this ribosomal RNA (442 nucleotides) under uncultured bacterium. RNAcentral's name for it is "partial 16S ribosomal RNA". It matches the Rfam family "Bacterial small subunit ribosomal RNA", at positions 338 to 795 of the family's 1533-position model. The record is from RNAcentral.